This 424-nucleotide ribosomal RNA is filed under the name uncultured bacterium. Its description in RNAcentral is "bacterial SSU rRNA". It matches the Rfam family "Bacterial small subunit ribosomal RNA", at positions 359 to 774 of the family's 1533-position model. The record is from RNAcentral.
GAAUAUUGGACAAUGGGGGGAACCCUGAUCCAGCCAUGCCGCGUGUGUGAAGAAGGCCUUUUGGUUGUAAAGCACUUUAAGCGAGGAGGAGGCUACUGUAGUUAAUACCUAGGGAUAGUGGACGUUACUCGCCGAAUAGGACCCGGCUAACUCUGUGCCAGCAGCCGCGGUGAUACAGAGGGUGCAAGCGUUAAUCGGAUUUACUGGGCGUAAAGCGCGCGUAGGUGGCCAAUUAAGUCAAAUGUGAAAUCCCCGAGCUUAACUUGGGAAUUGCAUUCGAUACUGGUUGGCUAGAGUAGGGGAGAGGAUGGUAGAAUUCCAGGUGUAGCGGUGAAAUGCGUAGAGAUCUGGAGGAAUACCGAUGGCGAAGGCAGGCAUCUGGCCUAAUACUGACACUGAGGUGCGAAAGCAUGGGGAGCAAACA